Long non-coding RNA from Harpegnathos saltator (Jerdon's jumping ant), 2175 nucleotides. RefSeq lists it as uncharacterized. The transcript is spliced from 2 exons. The record is from RefSeq and is a predicted model, not a curated record. Lineage: Eukaryota; Metazoa; Arthropoda; Insecta; Hymenoptera; Formicidae.
GGCAAUGUUCUCUCUCGCAUUGCGGCUUACAUUGUCGAACGGAUGGAAACCUCGUCGCGCCGGGCAAGAACUCCGAGACGUUCGCACAGCGCGCCAUCGGACGUCAUAACGUCGAACUAGCGGUAGCAGUAACGCCGCUGAUUUCACCCCCCUACGCGCUCUCUCAGCCGGGAUCGCUGCCUCUCUCGGAGCUCGGCCUCGGAGCAGCGCUCGGCCUCCGCCGAAAGUGCAUCGAAGAUGGCGACCGGAGGGUAGGGUCGAGCCAGAGGCGCGCUCCGCAAGGCAAUCUCUUCCCCGGUGGAGACGGCGCUGGUGAUAUCGGGGCGCGUCGGCCGCUUCGAGUACGGUGGUGGCGGGUUCCUCGGUUUUCCGCUAGUUCAGGACGUCGGGGUACGCAGUGGCUAAAACGCACUAACAUACAUACACAUACAUGCACACACACACACAUACACAUAGAACUCGUUCGUUCAUCUAUGCGGCUAUUGAAACAGCGAUUAACGCGCUCAUGUAAUACCCACCUACUUUGCUCGUCAACGUCUAGUCAAGGAGAAAGAGGGGGAGAAUAAAAUAUAAAAUGAGUCAGCGAAAAGGGAAACGCUCCGAUCGAGAUAAGAGUCGGACACGUGUGUGAGGCCAAAAAUGCAAUUUUAAUGUACAUAAAUAUAAAAUCAAUAUAUAUAUAUAUAUAUAUACAUAUAUAAAUAUUACACGUAUAUAUCCGAGCAUACCAAAGAAGAAAAAGAUCGAUCCUACGUAUCGAUAAGUUCCUCCCCGCUCGGUCGUGACGAAACACAUACACACACACACACAGAGAGACGAGUGAGAGAGACCGUUGGAGAUUAGACGACGGGCAAUUAGAUGACGGAAAAAUUAUCCGCGAGGCUCACGGAUCGGCGUCGGAUCAAUCAACGAUAAGAAACGGCGACUCGAGAGAGGCCCGAGAGACCGAAGUGUCGCCAAAGUACUCGAGAUAUUCGAGAUCUCGAGGUACUCGAGAUUACGCUCGAGAGAGCGAGGAGAGCGGCUCGGAGAGAGAAGCGCGUUAUUCUAGCGGCGGAUUAACGCGAGCGUGCGGCUGAAAGUGCCGUGCGAAAAUCGAUCGGGACGUAUCGCUAAACGCGUAUCAUCGGGGACAUCGAUCCGGCACGACGGGGUGAUGUCGACGGCUCGAAAAUUGCAACGGGCUGCUCGAAUCUCGCGGUAACAUCGAUGCGGUGGCGGAUCGCUCGGUCGAGUCAGCGUUUCCAAUUCGACGACCACAGGGAGCGACGUGAGCCCCGGACGUGCGCGCAGGAGGACUCGGACAUCGCGCUGGAAAGGACGUGGCACAUUCGUCGUAGGCUCUCCGCGGCGAGUUGACGCUGGACGAGACAGAAGCGCAGCGGAAACACAGGGAAGCGUCGCUCUGCCAUUAUCCGAUCGUCUCCCUCCUCCGUGCGGGAGAAUCGAAGAUUGCGCUGGCGCGGCCAAGGAUGAAAUCCUGAAGGGGGAUCUCCCAGAUCCUCGAGACUUCCUUCCGAUAGCCAUUAACUGAAUUUCGUCCACGAGCAGGCGGAGGCUAAUAGACUGCAGAGAGGCGACGAUUAAGAUAAUUGCCCCGCGCGAAAUUGCACGUUUCAGGCGAAGCUGAAGGCAACGCGCCAUUAUCGCGGCAGGUAACAAUCGAUUGAUAAGACAACGAGUGAAGUGUAACGAUAAGCAGCCGAGCAACCCGACCGACCUGCGGUUGAUGGCAGCUUGCGGAAGGAACAACGGCUUCCAAAGUGAAACAAACACACCUCGAGGAGACUCGAGGAGUAUAGGUUUGCGCUUCCCCAAGGAUCAAUGAGAUUCAGGAACACGUAGCCACGCUUCAGACGCGAGAUACUGUUCGGCGAGAUCCCUGAAAAAAUGAACGAUGAGGUGAAAUCAUAAGCGACGGUGAGGCGGCUGCAACUACGUCGGCCAAACGACGAGAAAGAAACGAAGGUGAGAGGUCACAGGCAGGGAACACAAUCGGCAGGCAGGAUAGAAAAAAGAAAGGAAAGGGUUGCUGGCAGCGGAGGGAGGCCGAGGACUCGUCUGGAAGAACGCGGAAAGGGCGACAGGGUCGCGCGAGCUGGCGGCAACGGGGGUGAGCGAGGGGUUCGCGGUAUCGAGGGAAAUACGAGAGGAAGAGCGGCAGAGAGAGAGAGA